Molecule: long non-coding RNA, 643 nt
Filed under: Homo sapiens (human)
Lineage: Eukaryota; Metazoa; Chordata; Mammalia; Primates; Hominidae
Description: HSALNT0145425
Source: RNAcentral
UGAGACUGCAGGUCCUGGGGGGACAAAGACCACCAUGCCACUUGAGGAGGCCUGCAUGGCCUCGGGGGAAGACCCCCGAGGGUGGGAGGUGUGUCACAGGAAGUGAGUUCUGUCCCCAUGGAUGGUGCAGGACCUGGUGAACCCCAGAGACCGCCUGCCUUCCUAACACAAUGAGAGAAAAGCCUGGGGGAUCCUGGGGAGGCAUCUGAGCCCGCCCCCAAGGCCAGGCUCUCCCCACUUCCCCGCAAAGAAUCGCCCCAUGCAGCGUGGCCCCCCAGCAGAAACCAGGUCUCCUCCUGCCCCUCAUCCCUGUUGGUCAGAGGCACAGCUGGGCAGCUGGCAGCCAGACCCGGGUCAGGGCAGAAGUUAAAGCGCUGGGCUGGGCAGAGGCCUGGGGGGGUGGGGGUGUGGUUGCAGGGACAGGAGUGUCCGCACUAGACUAGGGCUGCGGUCGGGGCUCCCCCAACUAUUCCAUGGAGUUGGUGGGUGAGGCAGGGGUUGCAGAAGUGGGAAUUGCAGAAUUGGGAAGAAGAAAGCCUCCAGGACGCCUCGACAGAGGAGAGCAGGAGGCUCCCAGAUCUCUCUGUGAGGAGGCAUUGGUGAGAUUUAAAGCAAAGAAAAAUCAAGAAACCCACAGGCAGGG